Molecule: ribosomal RNA, 116 nt
Filed under: Pteropus alecto (black flying fox)
Lineage: Eukaryota; Metazoa; Chordata; Mammalia; Chiroptera; Pteropodidae
Source: RNAcentral
GUCUAUGGCCACGCCUCCCUGAACAAGCCUGAUGUCUGAUCUCAGAAGCUAAGCAAGGUCGAGCCUGGUUAGUACUUGGAUGGGAGACCACCUAGGAAGACCAGGUGCUGUAGGCA